Molecule: ribosomal RNA, 410 nt
Filed under: uncultured bacterium
Lineage: Bacteria
Description: bacterial SSU rRNA
Rfam family: Bacterial small subunit ribosomal RNA
Source: RNAcentral
UGAGUAGAGUGGCGAACGGGUGAGUAACACGUGGGUGAUCUACCUCUGAGUGGGGGAUAACGUUCCGAAAGGAGCGCUAAUACCGCAUGACGUUCCGGGCUUGAAGACCGGGAAACCAAAGUCGGGGACCGCAAGGCCUGGCGCUUGGAGAGGAGCCCGCGCCUGAUUAGCUAGUUGGUGGGGUAAUGGCUCACCAAGGCGACGAUCAGUAGCCGGCCUGAGAGGGCGGACGGCCACACUGGGACUGAGACACGGCCCAGACUCCUACGGGAGGCAGCAGUGGGGAAUUGUUCGCAAUGGGCGCAAGCCUGACGACGCAACGCCGCGUGGAGGAUGAAGGUCUUCGGAUUGUAAACUCCUGUUGACCGGGACGAAUGGCCACCGACUGAAUACGUCGGUGGAAUGACGGU